GACGAACGCUGGCGGCGUGCUUAACACAUGCAAGUCGAACGGGCCUUGUCCCCUUUUUUUUUGGGGGUGGGGUUAGUGGCGAACAGGUGAGUAACACGUGAGUAACCUGCCCCUCACUUCUGGAUAACCGCUUGAAAGGGUGGCUAAUACGGGGUGUUCUGGCCUGCUCGCAUGGGUGGGUUUGGAAAGAUUCGACCGGUUUUGGUGGUUUUGGUGGGGGAUGGGCUCGCGGCCUAUCAGCUUGUUGGUGGGGUGAUGGCCUGCCAAGGCUUUGACGGGUAGCCGGCCUGAGAGGGUGGGCGGUCACACUGGGACUGAGACACGGCCCAGACUCCUACGGGAGGCAGCAGUGGGGAAUAUUGCACAAUGGGCGCAAGCCUGAUGCAGCGACGCCGCGUGAGGGAUGGAGGCCUUCGGGUUGUGAACCUCUUUCGCCAGUGAAGAAGGUCCUGCUCUUUGUGGUGGGGUUGACGGUAGCUGGGUUAAUGAAGCGCCGGCUAACUACGUG
Molecule: ribosomal RNA, 508 nt
Filed under: uncultured bacterium
Lineage: Bacteria
Description: partial 16S ribosomal RNA
Rfam family: Bacterial small subunit ribosomal RNA
Source: RNAcentral